GGGGGUGACUGGCUUUGACAGCGCUCUGACGGAGGUCGGCAAGCAUGCAGAGCAGCGGCAUCUAUGCUCUAUAAUAUCUUGGUGUCGAACUAUAAUUGGCGAAAAUAACAACUACGCUCUCGCUGCUUGAUCUGAAGUACAGUAGGAUCGCUUAAUCUCCGCCCAAGGAUGGCAGAGACGAGACAUCACCCCAUUGCCCCGUCCUGAGACGUUUGGAUAAGGUGGUGCUAAGAAAUUCAGGAAUAGGGGAGAGCAAGCUCCGGGCCCUCUCCGAAACCAAGGAGCUAAGGACAAGAUUGGUAGUCGCGAGCCUGUCUUUGUCCCGACAACCAAGUCGAUGACUAAGCAUGUAGAAAACCGGCAGCUGCGGCGUUUGGACGAGGGUUCAAUCCCCUCCACCUCCACU
Molecule: transfer-messenger RNA, 406 nt
Filed under: human gut metagenome
Rfam family: transfer-messenger RNA
About the family: Bacterial tmRNA, also known as 10Sa RNA or SsrA, is named for its dual tRNA and mRNA-like properties. Its role is to liberate the mRNA from a stalled ribosome.
Source: RNAcentral